UAGGGAACGGUGCAGCUCCGGAGAUGGGCGCAGACGUAGCAGAGAAGUUAGAUUGCAGCUGAAGGAGAGAGGUCAGUAUCUCUUCCAAUCAAUCUCUCUGUCUGUCUGACGCUGUCCCCAUCUCAUCCCGGCGAAGGGAAAAGCUCCAACUUCGCUCCUCCGCGCAGUGCGUGCAACUCCGCUCCCGGCGUAUAAGGUUGUGGCCGUUCGGUGCCUUAUCUGAGACGGGAAAAUAGCAGCGCUCCUUCCAAUCACGGGGAGAAUUGGUCUCCUCCCGUUCAGUUGUUACAUAUAUAUGUAUUUUUUCUUUGGGUCUCAUUUUGGAACUGCAGUUGACAACUUUUUAUUUAAAACCACUUUACCAGGCACCACUUAAUGCAUUAUUCACGUUUUUAAAAAUGCUUGAGAGAAAUCACCUUAAUGAAGAGAACAUUUGCGGUAAUUUGGUGAUAAUUAUCAGAAUCGCCAAACAUUCGCAGAGGCUGUAGCGUUACGUGUUGGAAGAAAAGCAAAGCGCAUUAUUCUAAUGGUCUGAUAUGCAAACUACGGACCGUCUAAUUAUAACCUUUAAUAGCGCAGACGCGAUGCGGUGCCGCUGUUGGGACGGGAGGGCCGCGGCCGUGCGCUCCGAGGACCGCGUGUGCGCCUCCAUCCAGCGAGUGCGUUCCCGUGGAGCAGGGCCCUGCCAAACCGCAUUUAAGAGAAUAAAAAUUAAUGACUGCGAAUUUGAGCGUUAAAUUAACAUUAAUUAUAUGACCUGCCUGCUGGAAAGAUUAAAUUUCUUACGCCCUAAUUAGA
Molecule: long non-coding RNA, 798 nt
Organism: Lagopus leucura (white-tailed ptarmigan)
Lineage: Eukaryota; Metazoa; Chordata; Aves; Galliformes; Phasianidae
Exons: 2
Source: RefSeq, a predicted model, not a curated record